CCUUCUUUUGUCGCAUCAAUAGUCUUAAAAGUCAUCGGGGAAAGUCCAUUCCAUCACGAGAGAAUGGAGGACAUUGGAAAAAGUGUGGACUUUCCCUGUCAGAGCCAGCUAAUUCAGAAAUACCAGCCAUCCAUCAAAAUGAGCUGGACCAAAGAUGAUGAAACCUUGAGCACACCACCCCACGGAUACGAUUAGACGCAGGGGGCAAUCUUCACAUAUCUGAGCUACAAGAAGAUGAUGCAGAGGA
Strongylocentrotus purpuratus (purple sea urchin) is the source of this 247-nucleotide long non-coding RNA. RefSeq lists it as uncharacterized. The transcript is spliced from 3 exons. Lineage: Eukaryota; Metazoa; Echinodermata; Echinoidea; Camarodonta; Strongylocentrotidae. The record is from RefSeq and is a predicted model, not a curated record.